This 300-nucleotide ribosomal RNA is filed under the name uncultured bacterium. Its description in RNAcentral is "bacterial SSU rRNA". It matches the Rfam family "Bacterial small subunit ribosomal RNA", at positions 794 to 1089 of the family's 1533-position model. The record is from RNAcentral.
UCCUGGCCGUAAACGAUGGGCACUAGGUGUGGGAGGCAUCGACCCUUUCCGUGCCGAAGCUAACGCAUUAAGUGCCCCGCCUGGGGAGUACGAUCGCAAGGUUGAAACUCAAAGGAAUUGACGGGGGCCCGCACAAACGGUGGAGCAUGUGGUUCAAUUCGAUGCAACGCGAAGAACCUUACCUGGGCUUGACAUCGCCGGAAAACCCCACGAAAGUGGGACUGGAAGCUUGCUUCCGCCGGUGACAGGUGCUGCAUGGCUGUCGUCAGCUCGUGUCGUGAGAUGUUGGGUUAAGUCCCG